AGGCUGUCCUGGCCCAGGGAGCAGGAGCUGGCACUGCCUGGUGUGGCUGGGCUCUGAUGAGCUGGGCAGCCUCUGGACGUGGCCUGGCAGACACUUCCACCUGGGAAUGCCUCAGCUGCUGCCCUGGAGGAGCAUGGCAGGCUGCAGCCAGAACCACUGCGCUCAUCCAGGCAGCAACAAACUCCUGGGAAGGAUUUGAAGGCAUUCAUCUGGCAGGUUUGGAAAGGUGGUGAUGGUGCUGCUCCCACUGAAACAGCACGGGGAUGGCUCCAGUGCUGGGGGGGAGAACCAGGCUGGAGUGAGAGCUGAACAAAGACUCAGAGAAAUUUGGAUUAAAUAUCCCUAAAGACGCACUGAGCACCUGUUGGCUGCAUCAGCACCUGCACUGCUGCUGCUGAAGAUGCCCAUCCUUACUCCAUCAGCGCUCCCGAGGCUCUGCCAGCUCAGUAACCACAGAAGUCCCUGGCUGCCCCUGAGGUGCCAUGUGCUGUGUGAAUGGCAGAAUUCACAGAGUCACCUGAGACAGGU
Molecule: long non-coding RNA, 528 nt
Organism: Zonotrichia leucophrys gambelii
Lineage: Eukaryota; Metazoa; Chordata; Aves; Passeriformes; Passerellidae
Exons: 4
Source: RefSeq, a predicted model, not a curated record